Molecule: long non-coding RNA, 619 nt
Organism: Lagopus leucura (white-tailed ptarmigan)
Lineage: Eukaryota; Metazoa; Chordata; Aves; Galliformes; Phasianidae
Exons: 3
Source: RefSeq, a predicted model, not a curated record
CCUGCCUGGUGGAGGCCUUCUGAAGAUUUCCUGUGUAGGCCUGUCCCCAGGGACUGACAACCUGGUGUAGACAACUCAUAAAUAAAAUGAGUGAGACAUGAGCAAGAAAAAGCAUACCAUACUUCUGGGAAUCACUCCAGGAAAAUAAAUGUGCAAGAUGGCACAUCACCCUACACAAAGCUGGCAAAGGCUUUCCCAUGUCUCAAAUGACCAAAACACUUUGACGCUUCCUGAACUGCUCUCCCAGUGAAGGACAGGAUAAGGCAGGACAGGAGAGGAUGCAGCAGAGGGCCUACUGUGUUCUGUACUUUGUUCUUGAAAUGACCAGAGUAACCUCCCUCCCUCAAAGCACCUACUGUGAAUGUCUGCAGUCCAUGACAGGGUUCCAAGGCCUGGAAAGAUACCUGAGUCAGCAGAGCAUGCCCACCUGGAGUCUAUAAUAUCAGCAGGCACAUCAGCUUAAUGCUCAAAAGAAUAGUAGGAAUGCAUUUCUCCAGCCAUGAGAAAGUGCAUUACAUCUAUGCAGUUUGCCCCUACGUUCUCCAAACAGUCAUGUAAAACCAGCCCGUAUUUCCCUCUUACGGUGGGGUGAAUAUAAUUGUCUCUGAAAAAAUUCUGC